Molecule: long non-coding RNA, 685 nt
Filed under: Trifolium pratense (red clover)
Lineage: Eukaryota; Viridiplantae; Streptophyta; Magnoliopsida; Fabales; Fabaceae
Description: long non-coding RNA (TPRA_LNC000316)
Source: RNAcentral
CCUUCUUUCUGAUAAGGGGAUGGUUCAGAAUGUGCAGGUGAUCCAUCAUCAUCUAUUUUCUUCCUAAAAUUAAAUGAAAAUCUUGAAACUUUCUCCAGCCAUAUAUUGUUUGAUUAACUAUCAUACUGUGUUAUUUUCCAACCUACAAGGACAUGAAUGAGUACAUCUUACAUCUGAUGCAAAUCGUUUUGCCUAACAAAGUCAAAAAGUAUAGUAGAUAAUUACUUUGAAGGAGAGCUUAAGAGCCCAAUAAUUCAAUCAAUCGAUAGGAAAUAACAUUGCCUUCCUCCAUAUAUAAAGAAGCUACCUUGUGAGAAUAGAUGUCUGAAAGAAAGGAAAUAAUCACGUUCUCUUUGAAUGAGGCUAGCGUUUAGCCGAGACAAAGAGUAGAGAAGGAAUCAUGUUUUUUGAAUGAGGCUAGGUUCGUCGAUUUCUUUGAAUGAAUCGUGUUUCCUCAAUUUUCUCAGGUGAAUGAACGGACUAGGGUUCGUAAGUUUAGGAAGAAGAAUCAAUUUCUGAGUUUGCAACAAUAACCAACAGAACAUAGCGAAUUAGGGUUCUUUGUCGCGUUUCUGAAUUGCGUUUUGAGAAUCAAUUUUAAGAAGAAUAAGAACGGAUGAAUCGAUUUUGGGAAGAAAUCGCGUUUUUUGAAUCUUGAAUCGGAUGAAUGUUUCUGAAAUUUGGG